Long non-coding RNA from Anguilla rostrata (American eel), 6720 nucleotides. RefSeq lists it as uncharacterized. The transcript is spliced from 2 exons. The record is from RefSeq and is a predicted model, not a curated record. NCBI's taxonomy places the organism in Eukaryota, Metazoa, Chordata, Actinopteri, Anguilliformes, Anguillidae.
GGGGGGAGGGGGUGGGGGGUAAUUUACUGGUCCUCUGUUCGAGUGUGCGGGAGUUCUCUCUCUCUUGCUCUGUCUGCCUCAGUCUCUCUCUCCCGCGCUGCCUGUCGAUCUCUCGCUGUGCUCUUGCAUCAGUGGCGGGCUGAGGGCGUAUGGGUUUAUUUUUGUGGGGAUAGUUCAUUCAUUUUUCGCUCUGAAUUUCCAAACACACGUAUGACAGGACAAAGUGUAACGUCUUCAUUAAACACCAAUUAACUUUUGGAUCCGCUUCACAGGUGGAUCUUUGCAAGAAUACUCUGACAUGUUACCAGCAUGCAAGCUACGUAGAAGCCCGUCCUCUUUAAGCAUAAAAUACCAGAGGCUUAAGUGGAGGAAAAGGUACAGUGCAAAUCGAGAGGAUUUGAGCACUGUGAUCUGACGGCUGACAGCCGAGCUGAGUUCCCAGGACAGUCCCAGGUCAGUCCCAGGCCAGUCCCUGGUCACAAUCUGCCCUGCUGUUAUGUUCUCCCCCAAACCACACUACUGCUCACAGUCUUCCACGGCUUUCCUAAGAAGAGCACCAGUGAAAGAGAGAGACGGAGACAGAGGGAGAGACAAAGAGAGAAUGUCUCCGUUUUAAGAGUUGAUUAGUUAUUAUUAAUGAUACUAAUUCUAUAAAUAAUGAUGCCAGUAUUAAUGAUAGUGAUUUUGAGAGAUGGAUUUUUCUUUUGUUGAGUUGUUUAUUUUUUUUAAUUCAGCUGUGUUCAUCUUAUUCUCAUUGUUGUGUUCCAGAAUGGGACUGUGGGGGGGGGGUGUGUGGAGCUCUGUGGAGAUAACACGGCACAAUGGGACUUGUGCACUUCCUGUCUCUCUGCAAAACUACAAACUGUGUAGUUUCUGAGAGCUGGUCACAUUGCGAUUGCCACUGCACUAAACUUUUAACCCGGCCCCACUAUCACUGUAACCCACGGCAACAAUUUAUGACCGGCCUGCUUCUUAAUGGCAAUCCCACUCCCGCACCCCCCCCCCCCCCACUAUGCCAGCCUCCAGCCCUGGGGGGCAUUCUAUGAUGGGGGAGGCAGUGGGGGAGAGGUGUAGUUAAGGAGCGGAAGGUGGAGGUCUGAGCUGGAGCAGGACCACUUCAGAAGGGCCGCUGUAACAAUCAGUAUCCGCCACCUAGCCCCUCCCUCCAUGCGUCUCCAGUCACGGGCGCUCGAAAUCCCACAGUUUACCCCGCACGAAAAACGUUUCACUCGUUUCUGAUGAGCCGAGGGAAAGAAAGUUGGGUUGAAGGAAUAAUCCAUGUUGAGGGGUCUCAGGAAAAAUGGAAAAAUAAAGUCAUAUGGUGCAGCUACAGCACAGUGCAGUGCUGGAAUGAAAACCCAUUCGAUUCUCACAUGGGGCUGUCAAAACACAGUCAUUUAAAAUAAAAGCUGUGGCUGCUGGCUAUUAUUGGCUUUUCCUCGGAGGCCCCUCAACUGUUCCUAAAUCUGAUUAGUGAAAAUGUUUGUUGCUUUCUCAUCGCAGCGUGAGAGAGAGAAGCUCUAUUGACCAUGUUAAUCAAGAUCAAUGCUGCUCUGUUUUUCUCAUUCAGAUUAUUUUUCUGACGCAGGACGGGUGGGGGGGAGGUUGAGUAUUUGUUGACCACAAGGUGGUGCUGUUUUGUCUUUGGGAGGAGAUGGGGAGGGGGGGGUAACGCCAACCCAGCCGACACGACUGCCACCAGGGGGCGACACAGCCCACUGUUGCCGCUCACGUCUCCCUGCCUUCCUGUCGUCAUGACAGCCAGUCUGUACCCAUGAAGUGUUCACUGCGUUCGGGACGUGCGCCACAGCCAAAACAACCGCACAGAAGGACCAAGGGCUACGCUCUUCCUGCCAAACUUUCCUCUGCCCCCACCCCCCACCCCCAGCCCCACAGCCCCCAGCCCCCACCUUCACAAACCCCUUCAAUCCUUUAGCGUUUCUGUCCACUGAAACCAACUUUGACUUCUCAGUCUUUCUCGCUGCACUACCAAGGUAUUAGAUACAAUACUGCUCCCAUCACUGCCACGUGACUAGGUUUCUCCUUAUUGUUAUCACUGUAGAGGUUGCUCCCACCUACAGUCCUCUAUCAGCCUAUUCAUGCUAUAGCAAGCAACGCUAGAGGUUCCCUGUCCCCGGACAUUGUACGGCACAGGCGUGUUGCUAGGCGAUGCCUCUCUUUAGAGGUCCCUGCGCACGCGUGACGUAGCACAGGUGUUAGCCACACAGCGAAGGAGCGUGCUGUGCCACUUCAGAGAGAGGUUAGAGAGAGGCGUCUGUGCGUUCACAGGCACGAUUCUAUGCAGAUCACUGCAGGCCAGCUUUUAAUAGCGCUUCACCACUUGAGCAGUGUGGUCCAGUUUGUGUGUGUGUGUGUGCGUCAUAGAACGGUGGACGUACAUGAAUGGCACCUGAUCUAUAGCCACCUUGUUUCCACCCUGUUAUGGCCACUCAUUUGGUUUCCUUCUCCCUGUUCUAUAUCUCUCUCUUUCUCUUUCUCUCUUGCUGCCUAUCUCUCUCUCCCUCUCCCUCUCCCUCCCCCAGUAGUUACCAUCUCCAGGCCACCAUCAGGAAGAGGGGUGGCUCGACACCCCAGGUCUCAGAGGAUGGACUAAAUUGGCUAGGGGUUAGCAUUCCUGAUCCUGGAGAGCCACAGUGCCUUCUGACUGUUAUUUCAUGCAAACCCCUUAUUUAACAGGACCAUCUAUAGGCCUUAAUGACAUGAGUAUUAGUGCCAGUGACCGUGUGUUUGAGCUUCUCUGUGGCCAGCUUGGUCUGGGGUAGGAGAGGCUUACGGGCCCUACUGCACGGUGGUCGCUUUGUUGCUAAGGUGCAAUCGCCCUGGCAACUGCGUCCAGUCUGCCAGUGAAAUUCUGCCAUUUCUGAGGUUUAACUGAUUUGUUAAUAUUCAGUUUCUUAUCAUUGAAGUGUAAAAGACGCGCAUUUAAAUGUGUAACAUAAGAAUGGAUUGGAUUUUACAGAUACUCACCUGUGAGUUUGGCUCUACUGCCAAGAGAAAGGAAAAACCCUCCCUCUUUCUCUCUCUCUCUCACCCACUUCUUCUCUAUCGCAUUCUCUCUUACUCCCUUUCUCCUUGCUCCUUUUCUUCAUCAUUCCCUUUCCUGAAACCUGGACCCGAAACUGGGAAUACAGGAUUGGCCAUUUCGAAUGAAAUCAUUUUGGCUCCAAAUGUUGCAUGUUUCACACCUUGUGGAGCCAAAAUGGCAAACACCACUGCAGUUACCAACAAAAAAAUGGGUGUCUUGUGUGCUCCAAAAGACAGCGCAAAUCGUGUCACAAUACAUGAUCAUCCCAAAGCUUAUUGUGUUUCCCCGCUACUUGUUUUCCUCUUUAUGACCAAGCGAUUUUUGCGAUUGCUGUCGCUGUGCAGGUCUCUCCCUUCAUUCCUCUUAUCGUCCUUCAUCUCAAUUCUCUCAAUUACUUCUCGACAUUUGGUUCACUAAUCCAGACGUGGGUUCUCUCUCUUUUCUCAUUACCAUCCCCCAUUUUCCUGUCGUCUUCCCCCUUCUCUCCUCUCUUUCCCUCUAAAAAAGUGUUUACAUAUGGAGCCCCAUCCCAUUGUCUCCGCAUGUCCUUCCCUUUCAGGGAACAAAGGAGAGGCGGUCCAUCCAUUCAGUGGUACCCGCGUCUGAUUUUUGGAUGGUGUGUAUCUCUAGUGUGAUGCCAACGGUAGUGCAUAAAUAAGGGCUUUCUUGUGAUGGUUCGAGGUGGUGAGACCAAAAGCAAUGCUCACGUAGCCGCACACACUCCGCACGCUCUUCUCUGUGUGUUAGCGUAAAAAAAAAAAAAAAAAGGCACAGAGAUGGAAGGACUAUGUGCAGUGAUGGAGUAUAGUGCGAAAUCCAGAAAAAAAAAAAAAAAAGUAUUGAUAGUUACACGAUAGGACAAAUUUCACUACAGAACUGCACGCAUUUGAUCAUAGCAGAGAUCGGCUCUCAGGGAGGGAGACUGGGAGAAUUCGCUGUCAUGACAGUGACACAGUCCUGUGUGUGUGUGUGUGUGUGUGUGUGUGCGUGCAUAUGCGUUAGUGUGUGUGUGUGUGUUUGUGAGCGUGUGUAUGUGUUUGAGAGUGUGUGUGUGCGUGCAUAUGUGUUAGUGUGUGUGUUUGUGAGUGUGUGUAUCUGUUUGAGUGUGUGUGUGUGUGUGUGUGUUUGUAAGAGUGUGUUUAUGUGCGAUAGGGCACAGUGUAUGCAGUGCCUUUCACUGCUGAGCAAACAGACACUCACAGAAACCACGCCCCCCUCUCAGCGCUCAGACACAACGGCAGGGACGCGUGCCAGAUGCCGGCUGGGAUCAUGGGAUAGCUCUUCAUCCUCCAUUCAUCAUCUUCCUCUCCUCCUGUCAUCUGUAAAGGCCAUAAGCCAUGGACCCUGCCUCCCCCCUCUGUGCCCCCCCUGGCCAGAUCUUCAUUGGCACAUGGAAGGGUGAACCAGUGGAGCAUGAGAUUGGAUGACUGUCUUUUCUAUCAACGGGUGUUUGUUGUUAUUGGGGGGUGGGAGGAGGGGGUGGGGGCGGGGGGGUAAUCACGGCCAGUUUGGGCGGUUGUGCAGGUCUGUCAUUUUUCUGUCUGUACAUUGACUCUGUAAAUCAUUGAUAACCUAUAUCACCCAUAAACCUCCCGAAACAACAGCUGUGUCCAUUCUCUUCUCUACUUCACCGUCUUACUCUCCUGUCUCUUCCAUCAAGUCAUUUCUCCGUCUACUUGCAGUUUGCAUGCUGGUGUUUCCAUUUUAAGACAUGUUGAGGUUAACUGGAAGUCGUUUGCAGGCAGUGUGUCAAAAAAAUAAAUCACAUGCAGUAUAAUGAGCAGCCACAAGGGGGCAUAAAGAGUAUUGACAGUAAUAUUAUAGCCUAUACUGCCUCUCACCCUAGAUACAUGCAUACACACACACAUAAUGCUUCACUUAAUGGUUCAAUUACAGCACUCAGGUCAGGCAGAUGUUCCAGAGGGAGGAUGCUAGUGGCAUCAGCAGUAAAAUUGAAAGUGAAUUUGUGAAGUGUGCCCCAGAGGCAUCAGACGUGCUCCCAGCAGACUGCAGGCACGAGCAGACAGUGAGAGGAACCCCAGCGGGGCAUUCUGCAGUGACGUGCCACAGGGAUCCCUGCACCACUCUUCCCUCUCCAUCCUUCACCCGCCACCAUUCCUCCGUCUCCUCACCCGCUAACUCGCUCCCGUCCCAGGGCAGCUUCCGCCCGGCGUCCCCCGGCCUGCGCCUGAGCGCUGCUGCUCCCUGAACCCUCCGGAGGUGCGAGGGGAGUCCUGCUUGGUGGAGCUCACGGCCCAGAGCCCCACACAGACACGCACAGAGCCUGGGGAGGGGGACUCUGCUCGGGAGGCUCAGACACGCAGAGGCUGGACAGACUCCUGUUAUUUGCACUAAAACCGCUGCAUCGCCGACCGGCAACCUGCCCGGGGUGUUUUCCUGCCUUUUCGCCCAAUGCAUGCUGGGAUAGGCUCCAGCCACCCUGCAACCCUGACCAGGAAUAAGCAGGACAGAUAAUGGAGAUGGAUGGGUGCUGCAUCGCCCCGGCCCUCCCCAGACGAAAUGCCACUCAGGUCUCCCAGGCAACAGUUCAGUCCCAGGAUCAGUCUGGAGCCCUGUACACACCUGGCCAGGUUUACAGAUCCCCCCAGAAUUACAUUCUGCAUUUAACCACUUAGCUGAGUGUAGUCCCAUGUGAAUGCACCACACAAAGAUAGAGGGUCAACAAGGGCCUGAGUGCAGUCUGAGGGGCAGGUGUGUGUGUGUGUGUGUGUGUGUGUGUGUGUGUGUGAGGGAGACGGUGGUAGGGGACAGUACGUGCUUGAUUGUGUAUCUGUGCCAGCGUUAGCAUGAGAGUGUGAGUGUGUUUGUGUGCGCACGUGUGUGUGUGUGCGCACGUGUGUGUGUGAGUGUGUUUGUGAGAGUCGGACACGUCUGUCACUGUCACACCUGAAAACAAAGCAUGCCCUGACAUGUUCCCCUGACAUCACACACCACUGGGUCCCCAUGGUCCCAAUCAAGCGUCGGCUAACAAGCGCUAACUAACUCACCACCAUUCCAUGUGAAUAAAGCACGCAGGAGCCACCGAGGAAUUUAAAAGAGAAAAAGAAAAACAUUUAAAUGACAAAGACAAAAAAGAAACGUAUUUACUUACAGAACUGCAUGUGCAAUGUGCAUGCCACUAUGUGGGGUAUAAAGUCAUCUUCAGGAAUUCAAAAAAAGAAUAUCAAGAAAAAAGUAUAUAUAAAUAUAGAUAGAUGUUUUUAAAAGCAAUGUGUUCCUUUUCUUCUUCUAUUUUUAAAAACAAAAAAUGCAAAAAAAGACAAAAAAAAAAAAAAACAAUAACAAAACGACUUUGGUGUUCAUAUCAAAGGAGCUUUGUUAGUUUCUUAUUGCCAAGUGUUCACUGAGAGUCUGGGGUUGAGAUAAACACACAUCGACGCAAUGUUUGAGAAAAAAAAAGAAAAGAAAAGAAGAAUAAAAAAUAUUUCCAGUUGGGGGGGGGGGGGGCGGGGGGGUUAAAGAAGUAUUUAAAAAAUCCUCCAGUAGAGCUGGAACAGAAGCUGCCUGAAUGUGAUGAUGUAGCCCUUUAUUUUGGCUGUGGAAUCUCUUUCUCUCUAUGUUUCUCUCUCAGCUAUUUCUACCAGUGCAUUUUGUAAUUCUGAAGAGAAUUCUUCCUAAGGAACCCGAAUAAACCCGGAGAGAAUGCAGCCUUC